This 114-nucleotide ribosomal RNA is filed under the name Candidatus Woesearchaeota archaeon. The record is from RNAcentral. Lineage: Archaea; Nanobdellati; Candidatus Woesearchaeota.
UAGAAGGUUCAUAUAACUACGGGUUACACCUGUUCCCAUCUCGAACACAGAAGUUAAGCCUAGCUAGCCGAGUCAUUACUGUUAUCCAACGGGAAAUCUCUGGUGACCUUCAUC